UCAAAUGAAUUGACGGGGGCCCGCACAAGCGGUGGAGCAUGUGGUUUAAUUCGAUGCAACGCGAAGAACCUUACCUGGUCUUGACAUCCACGGAAGUUUUCAGAGAUGAGAAUGUGCCUUCGGGAACCGUGAGACAGGUGCUGCAUGGCUGUCGUCAGCUCGUGUUGUGAAAUGUUGGGUUAAGUCCCGCAACGAGCGCAACCCUUAUCCUUUGUUGCC
RNAcentral lists this ribosomal RNA (219 nucleotides) under Escherichia coli. RNAcentral describes it as "partial 16S ribosomal RNA". It matches the Rfam family "Bacterial small subunit ribosomal RNA", at positions 901 to 1119 of the family's 1533-position model. Lineage: Bacteria; Pseudomonadati; Pseudomonadota; Gammaproteobacteria; Enterobacterales; Enterobacteriaceae. RNAcentral also lists the same sequence under 2 other names. The record is from RNAcentral.